This 400-nucleotide ribosomal RNA is filed under the name uncultured bacterium. Its description in RNAcentral is "bacterial SSU rRNA". It matches the Rfam family "Bacterial small subunit ribosomal RNA", at positions 355 to 748 of the family's 1533-position model. The record is from RNAcentral.
UAGGGAAUCUUCCGCAAUGGACGAAAGUCUGACGGAGCAACGCCGCGUGAGUGCAGAAGGCCUUCGGGUUGUAAAGCUCUGUUGCCAGGGACGAAGAGCAUCCAGAGGGAAUGAUGGAUGUGUGACGGUACCUGAGAAGAAAGCCCCGGCUAACUACGUGCCAGCAGCCGCGGUAAUACGUAGGGGGCAAGCGUUGUCCGGAAUUAUUGGGCGUAAAGCGCGCGCAGGCGGUGACCUAAGUCCGGCGUGAAAAGGAAGGGCUCAACCCUUUCUGGCGUCGGAAACUGGGUGACUGGAGUGCAGAAGAGGAGAGUGGAAUUCCACGUGUAGCGGUGAAAUGCGUAGAGAUGUGGAGGAACACCAGUGGCGAAGGCGACUCUCUGGUCUGUAACUGACGCUG